RNAcentral lists this ribosomal RNA (480 nucleotides) under Triticum aestivum (bread wheat). Its description in RNAcentral is "partial small subunit ribosomal RNA". The record is from RNAcentral. Lineage: Eukaryota; Viridiplantae; Streptophyta; Magnoliopsida; Poales; Poaceae.
AUGACCCGACAGUUCGAGCUUUGCUGGACAUCCAUCGAAGAUAUCAACCCGAGGUGUUGUUUUUUGUCGGAGACACAUCCAGAACGCUAUCCGGCAGAGUGCUUACGGCGCUGUUUGAUGAUGUAUCAUCUUAUUGUUAAUCCUAGUGAUGGCAGGAAAGGAGGUUUGUGUAUGCUUUGGAAGCAGCAGGUGAGGGUGCCACAAAUAUUCUCUGAUCCUAACUAUAUUGAUGUGAAAAUAGAGGAUAAAGGUCAUGAAUGCAGGUUCACGGGUAUGUAUGGCGAGUUUAAAUGGACUGAUAAACACAAGACUUGGAGAAGAAUGAGGAGUUUAAAGGUUCAACAUAAUUUGCCAUGGUUAGUCAUGGGGGAUUUCAACGAGAUUCUGUCUAACAAUGAGAAAGAAGGAGGGAAUCCAAGAGCGAUUCACUCCAUGCAAUCAUUUCAAGAGGCGUUGAAUGAUUGCGAAGUAGUUGAUGUG